RNAcentral lists this ribosomal RNA (301 nucleotides) under uncultured bacterium. RNAcentral describes it as "partial 16S ribosomal RNA". It matches the Rfam family "Bacterial small subunit ribosomal RNA", at positions 509 to 807 of the family's 1533-position model. The record is from RNAcentral.
CAGUAGCCACGGUAAUACGUAGGGCGCGAACGUUAAUCGGAAUUACUGGGCGUAAAGCGUGCGCAGGCGGUUUUGUAAGACAGGCGUGAAAUCCCCGGGCUCAACCUGGGAAUGGCGCUUGUGACUGCAAAGCUAGAGUGCGGCAGAGGGGGAUGGAAUUCCGCGUGUAGCAGUGAAAUGCGUAGAUAUGCGGAGGAACACCGAUGGCGAAGGCAAUCCCCUGGGCCUGCACUGACGCUCAUGCAUGAAAGCGUGGGGAGCAAACAGGAUUAGAUACCCCUGUAGUCCCUGUCUCUUAUAC